AUGGAAAGAAGUGGCCUGAUGCUCCUGCUGAUGAAGCUUCGUCCUACUACAAGGUUCCCUUUCUCAAGAACUGUCUACAUUGAACAAACUGAUUUUCGCCGUAAGGACUCGAAAGAUUACUAUGGGCUAGCUCCUGGUAAAUCUGCCCUGCUAAGGUAUGCAUUCCCUAUAAAAUGCAGAGAGGUUAUUUAUGGUGGUACUCCAGAUGAUAUUGUUGAAAUUCGAGCUGAGUAUGACCCCUCAAGGACUUCUAAACCUAAGAAUCCUGCCGAAUUGGAAGAUUGGCUGGGUGACCUUAACCCGCACUCAAAAGAGGUUGUAAAGGGCGCUUAUGCUGUACCGUCGCUUGCAACCGCCGUUGUGGGUGAUAAGUUUCAGUUUGAGCGGCCUUGA
This 393-nucleotide ribosomal RNA is filed under the name Triticum aestivum (bread wheat). RNAcentral describes it as "partial small subunit ribosomal RNA". The record is from RNAcentral. Lineage: Eukaryota; Viridiplantae; Streptophyta; Magnoliopsida; Poales; Poaceae.